AAUAAAGUGCCUGAUUAAAAGGAUUAUUCUGAUAGGAUAAAUAAUGUAUAAAAAUACCUUUAUUA
RNAcentral lists this transfer RNA (65 nucleotides) under Amorophaga japonica. RNAcentral describes it as "tRNA-Ile". Lineage: Eukaryota; Metazoa; Arthropoda; Insecta; Lepidoptera; Tineidae. The record is from RNAcentral.